AAAUGGAAAGUGAAAUAUUACAAUCAGUUUCGACCUGAAAAUUGGCAUAAUUAUGCCUCCAUUUA
This 65-nucleotide transfer RNA is filed under the name Ischnura senegalensis. RNAcentral describes it as "tRNA-Arg". The record is from RNAcentral. Lineage: Eukaryota; Metazoa; Arthropoda; Insecta; Odonata; Coenagrionidae.